This 253-nucleotide ribosomal RNA is filed under the name uncultured bacterium. RNAcentral's name for it is "partial 16S ribosomal RNA". It matches the Rfam family "Bacterial small subunit ribosomal RNA", at positions 524 to 776 of the family's 1533-position model. The record is from RNAcentral.
UACGUAGGUGGCAAGCGUUGUCCGGAUUUAUUGGGCGUAAAGGGCGCGCAGGCGGUUCGUUAGGUCCGAGGUGAAAUCUCCCGGCUCAACUGGGAGGGGUCUUCGGAUACCGGCGGGCUUGAGGUGAGCAGAGGUGAGCGGAAUUCUGGGUGUAGUGGUGAAAUGCGUAGAUAUCCAGAGGAACACCAGUGGCGAAGGCGACUACCUGGCCUGUUCUUGACGCUGAGGCGCGAAAGCUAGGGGAGCAAACGGG